GGGCCUGUAGAUUAGUGGAAGAUCGCUUGACUUGCAAUCAAGAGGCCACGGGUUCAAUUCCCGUCAGGUCCA
RNAcentral lists this transfer RNA (72 nucleotides) under Promethearchaeota archaeon. Its description in RNAcentral is "Candidatus Lokiarchaeota archaeon tRNA-Ala". It matches the Rfam family "tRNA". From Rfam's summary of the family: Transfer RNA (tRNA) molecules are approximately 80 nucleotides in length. Lineage: Archaea; Promethearchaeati; Promethearchaeota. The record is from RNAcentral.